UACGUAGGAGGCAAGCGUUGUCCGGAAUCACUGGGCGUAAAGCGCGUGUAGGCGGAUCGCUAAGUCUGUGGUGAAAGCGCCUGGCUUAACCGGGCGAGGUCCAUGGAAACUAGCGGUCUGGAGGCCGGUAGAGGGGGGUGGAAUUCCGGGUGUAGUGGUGAAAUGCGUAGAGAUCCGGAGGAACACCAGUGGCGAAGGCGGCCCCCCUGGGCCGGUACUGACGCUGAGACGCGAAAGCGUGGGGAGCGAACAGG
This 254-nucleotide ribosomal RNA is filed under the name uncultured bacterium. Its description in RNAcentral is "partial 16S ribosomal RNA". It matches the Rfam family "Bacterial small subunit ribosomal RNA", at positions 524 to 776 of the family's 1533-position model. The record is from RNAcentral.